RNAcentral lists this ribosomal RNA (497 nucleotides) under uncultured bacterium. RNAcentral describes it as "partial 16S ribosomal RNA". It matches the Rfam family "Bacterial small subunit ribosomal RNA", at positions 28 to 507 of the family's 1533-position model. The record is from RNAcentral.
GAUGAACGCUGGCGGCGUGCCUAAUACAUGCAAGUCGAGCGAACGGACGAGAAGCUUGCUUCUCUGAUGUUAGCGGCGGACGGGUGAGUAACACGUGGAUAACCUACCUAUAAUACUGGGAUAACUUCGGGAAACCGGAGCUAAUACCGGAUAAUAUUUUGAACCGCAUGGUUCAAAAGUGAAAGACGGUCUUGCUGUCACUUAUAGAUGGAUCCGCGCUGCAUUAGCUAGUUGGUAAGGUAACGGCUUACCAAGGCAACGAUGCAUAGCCGACCUGAGAGGGUGAUCGGCCACACUGGAACUGAGACACGGUCCAGACUCCUACGGGAGGCAGCAGUAGGGAAUAUUCCGCAAUGGGCGAAAGCAUGACGGAGCAACGCCGCGUGAGUGAUGAAGGUCUUCGGAUCGUAAAACUCUGUUAUUAGGGAAGAACAUAUGUGUAAGUAACUGUGCACAUCUUGACGGUACCUAAUCAGAAAGCCACGGCUAACUACGUG